CCUACGGGUGGCAGCAGUGGGGAAUAUUGCACAAUGGGGGAAACCCUGAUGCAGCGACGCCGCGUGAGUGAAGAAGUAAUUCGUUAUGUAAAGCUCUAUCAGCAGGGAAGAAAAUGACGGUACCUGAGUAAGAAGCCCCGGCUAACUACGUGCCAGCAGCCGCGGUAAUACGUAGGGGGGAAGCGUUAUCCGGAUUUACUGGGCGUAAGGGGAGCGUAGACGGCAGUGCAAGACUGGAGUGAACGGGGGGGGCUCAACCCCCGGACUGCUCUGGAAACUGUACGGCUGGAGUGCAGGAGAGGUGAGUGGAAUGCCUGGUGUAGGGGUGAAAUGCGUAGAUAUUAGGAGGAA
RNAcentral lists this ribosomal RNA (351 nucleotides) under uncultured bacterium. RNAcentral describes it as "partial 16S ribosomal RNA". It matches the Rfam family "Bacterial small subunit ribosomal RNA", at positions 338 to 706 of the family's 1533-position model. The record is from RNAcentral.